UACAGAGGUGGCGAGCGUUAUUCGGAAUCAUUGGGCGUAAAGGGCGCGUAGGCGGCCAAGCAAGUCCUGGGUGAAAUCCCUCGGCUCAACCGAGGAACUGCCUCGGAAACUGCAUGGCUUGAGGACGGGAGAGGGUAGCGGAAUUCCCAGUGUAGCGGUGAAAUGCGUAGAUAUUGGGAGGAACACCGGUGGCGAAGGCGGCUGCCUGGACCGGUUCUGACGCUGAUGCGCGAAAGCGUGGGGAGCAAACAGG
Molecule: ribosomal RNA, 253 nt
Filed under: uncultured bacterium
Lineage: Bacteria
Description: partial 16S ribosomal RNA
Rfam family: Bacterial small subunit ribosomal RNA
Source: RNAcentral